Molecule: ribosomal RNA, 424 nt
Filed under: uncultured bacterium
Lineage: Bacteria
Description: partial 16S ribosomal RNA
Rfam family: Bacterial small subunit ribosomal RNA
Source: RNAcentral
AAUAUUAGACAACGGGGGGAACCCUGAUCCAGCCAUGCCGCGUGGGUGAAGAAGGUCUUCGGAUUGUAAAGCACUUCAAUUUGGGAGGAGGGGAAGUAAGUUAAUACCAUGCUGUUUUGCCGUUACCGACAGAAUAAGCACCGGCUAACUUAGUGCCAGCAGCCGCGGUAAUACGAAGGGUGCAAGGGUUAAUCGGAAUUAAUGGGCGUAAAGCGCGCGGUAGUGGUUUGUUUAGUUGGGAGUGAAAGCCCCGGGCUCAACCUGGGAACUGCUUUCAAAACUGGCAAGCUAGGGUAUGGCAGAGGGUGGUGGAAUUUCCUGUGUAGCGGUGAAAUGCGUAGAUAUAGGAAGGAACACCAGUGGCGAAGGCGACCACCUGGGCUAAUACUGACACUGAGGUGCGAAAGCGUGGGGAGCAAACAGG